This 253-nucleotide unclassified non-coding RNA is filed under the name uncultured Myxococcales bacterium. Its description in RNAcentral is "contains 16S-23S intergenic spacer region". It matches the Rfam family "Bacterial small subunit ribosomal RNA", at positions 524 to 776 of the family's 1533-position model. Lineage: Bacteria; Pseudomonadati; Myxococcota; Myxococcia; Myxococcales. The record is from RNAcentral.
GACAGAGGGUGCAAACGUUGUUCGGAAUUACUGGGCGUAAAGCGCGUGUAGGCGGCUGCGUAAGUCGGGCGUGAAAGCCCACGGCUCAACCGUGGAAGAGCACUCGAAACUGCGUAGCUUGAGUCCUGGAGAGGAAGGUGGAAUACUCGGUGUAGAGGUGAAAUUCGUAGAUAUCGAGUGGAACACCGGUGGCGAAGGCGGCCUUCUGGACAGUGACUGACGCUGAGACGCGAAAGCGUGGGGAGCAAACAGG